UUAACCUAUGUUCAUGUAUGUCCCUUGACAAUUGCUAUUUUCAAACCAUAUCAGUCAGUUCAUAUUUAUGUGGAGAUCAAUGUGCCAAAACAGACUAAGCUUCAUAUUCGGUAGUAGAUGCCACAUAGUUAUAGGUCCUAUUCUCAUAGCGGGCCUUCAUUGCCACGUCUAUUCCAUUUUCAAACAUUGUUUCCUUGAAACAUGGCAAUGAUCAGAAUAGGACAUAUAACUAAUUGACGUCUUCUGAAUGUGGAGCAUAGUCUGUUUUG
This 269-nucleotide long non-coding RNA is filed under the name Medicago truncatula (barrel medic). RNAcentral's name for it is "long non-coding RNA (MTRU_LNC006059)". Lineage: Eukaryota; Viridiplantae; Streptophyta; Magnoliopsida; Fabales; Fabaceae. The record is from RNAcentral.